GAAACUAACAAGGAUUCCCCUAGUAACUGCGAGUGAAGCGGGAAAAGCUCAAAUUUAAAAUCUGGCAGUUUCACUGUCCGAGUUGUAAUCUGGAGAAGCAUUUUCCGCGUCAGACCGUGUACAAGUCUCUUGGAACAGAGCGUCAUAGAGGGUGAGAAUCCCGUCCAUGACACGGACUACUGAUGCUUUGUGAUAUGCUCUCGAAGAGUCGAGUUGUUUGGGAAUGCAGCUCAAAAUCGGGUGGUAAAUUCCAUCUAAAGCUAAAUAUUGGCGAGAGACCGAUAGCGAACAAGUACCGUGAGGGAAAGAUGAAAAGCACUUUGGAAAGAGAGUUAAACAGUACGUGAAAUUGUUGAAAGGGAAACGCUUGAAGUCAGUCGCGUUGUCUGAGACUCAGCCUUGCUUGCAUGGUGUACUUCUCAGUUAACGGGUCAACAUCAAUUUCAGUUGGUGGAUAAAGGCAUUGGGAAUGUGGCACCUUCGGGUGUGUUAUAGCCCUUUGUUGCAUACACUGACCGGGAUUGAGGAACGCAGCACGCCACUAAGGCCAGGGGUUCGCCCCAUGUAACGUGCUUAGGAUGUUGGCAUAAUGGCUUUAAGCG
Molecule: ribosomal RNA, 602 nt
Filed under: Xylodon chinensis
Lineage: Eukaryota; Fungi; Basidiomycota; Agaricomycetes; Hymenochaetales; Schizoporaceae
Description: partial 28S ribosomal RNA
Rfam family: Eukaryotic large subunit ribosomal RNA
Source: RNAcentral